Molecule: ribosomal RNA, 465 nt
Filed under: uncultured bacterium
Lineage: Bacteria
Description: partial 16S ribosomal RNA
Rfam family: Bacterial small subunit ribosomal RNA
Source: RNAcentral
GACGAACGCUGGCGGCGUGCUUAACACAUGCAAGUCGAACGGAAAGGCCCUGCUUGCAGGGUACUCGAGUGGCGAACGGGUGAGUAACACGUGGGUGAUCUGCCCUGCACUUCGGGAUAAGCCUGGGAAACUGGGUCUAAUACCGGAUAGGAGCCAUUUUUAGUGUGAUGGUUGGAAAGUUUUUUCGGUGUAGGAUGAGCUCGCGGCCUAUCAGCUUGUUGGUGGGGUAAUGGCCUACCAAGGCGGCGACGGGUAGCCGGCCUGAGAGGGUGGACGGCCACAUUGGGACUGGGAUACGGCCCAGACUCCUACGGGAGGCAGCAGUGGGGAAGAUUGAACAAUGGGCGCAAGCCUGAUGCAGCGACGCCGCGUGGGGGAUGACGGCCUUCGGGUUGUAAACUCCUUUCGCUAGGGACGAAGCUUUUUGUGACGGUACCUAGAUAAGAAGCACCGGCUAACUACGUG